Molecule: ribosomal RNA, 253 nt
Filed under: uncultured bacterium
Lineage: Bacteria
Description: partial 16S ribosomal RNA
Rfam family: Bacterial small subunit ribosomal RNA
Source: RNAcentral
UACGUAGGGUGCAGGCGUUAAUCGGAAUUACUGGGCGUAAAGCGUGCGCAGGCGGCUUCCUAAGUCAGAUGUGAAAUCCCCGGGCUCAACCUGGGAACUGCAUUUGUGACUGCAUCGCUGGAGUGCGGCAGAGGGGGAUGGAAUUCCGCGUGUAGCAGUGAAAUGCGUAGAUAUGCGGAGGAACACCGAUGGCGAAGGCAAUCCCCUGGGCCUGCACUGACGCUCAUGCACGAAAGCGUGGGGAGCAAACAGG